This 253-nucleotide ribosomal RNA is filed under the name uncultured bacterium. Its description in RNAcentral is "partial 16S ribosomal RNA". It matches the Rfam family "Bacterial small subunit ribosomal RNA", at positions 524 to 776 of the family's 1533-position model. The record is from RNAcentral.
UACAGAGGUCCCAAGCGUUGUUCGGAUUCAUUGGGCGUAAAGGGUGCGUAGGCGGCCAACUAAGUCAGACGUGAAAUCCCCAGGCUUAACCUGGGAACUGCGUCGGAUACUGGAUGGCUUGAAUCCGGGAGAGGGAUGCGGAAUUCCAGGUGUAGCGGUGAAAUGCGUAGAUAUCUGGAGGAACACCGGUGGCGAAGGCGGCAUCCUGGACCGGCAUUGACGCUGAGGAGCGAAAGCCAGGGGAGCAAACGGG